Molecule: ribosomal RNA, 406 nt
Filed under: uncultured bacterium
Lineage: Bacteria
Description: partial 16S ribosomal RNA
Rfam family: Bacterial small subunit ribosomal RNA
Source: RNAcentral
AUUGAACGCUGGCGGCAGGCCUAACACAUGCAAGUCGAGCGCGCGGCGGACGGGUGAGUAAUGUAUGGGGAUCUGCCCGAUAGAGGGGGAUAACUACUGGAAACGGUGGCUAAUAACGCAUACUAUCGGCUGAACCCAUAUGGGAUUAGCUAUUAGGUGGGGUAAAGGCUCACCUAGGCGACGAUCUCUAGCUGGUCUGAGAGGAUGACAAGCCAAACUGGGACGGAGAAACGGUCCAGACGCCUACGGGAGGCAGCAGUGGGGAAUAUUGCACAAUGGGCGCAAGCCUGAUGCAGCCAUGACGCGUGUAUGAAGAAGGCCUUAGGGUUGUAAAGUACUUUCAGCGGGGAGGCGUGACCCGCAGAAGAAGCACCGGCUAACGCCGUGCCAGCAGCCGCGGUAAGAC